GACGAACGCUGGCGGCGUGCUUAACACAUGCAAGUCGAACGGAAAGGCCCUGCUUUUGUGGGGUGCUCGAGUGGCGAACGGGUGAGUAACACGUGAGUAACCUGCCCUUGACUUUGGGAUAACUUCAGGAAACUGGGGCUAAUACCGGAUAGGAGCUCCUGCUGCAUGGUGGGGGUUGGAAAGUUUCGGCGGUUGGGGAUGGACUCGCGGCUUAGCAGCUUGUUGGUGGGGUAGUGGCUUACCAAGGCUUUGACGGGUAGCCGGCCUGAGAGGGUGACCGGCCACAUUGGGACUGGGAUGCGGCCCAGACUCCUACGGGAGGCAGCAGUGCGGAAGAUUGCACAAUGGGCGGAAGCCUGAUGCAGCAACGCCGCGUGCGGGAUGACGGCCUUCGGGUUGUAAACCGCUUUCGCCUGUGACGAAGCGUGAGUGACGGUAAUGGGUAAAGAAGCACCGGCUAACUACGUG
This 468-nucleotide ribosomal RNA is filed under the name uncultured bacterium. Its description in RNAcentral is "partial 16S ribosomal RNA". It matches the Rfam family "Bacterial small subunit ribosomal RNA", at positions 28 to 507 of the family's 1533-position model. The record is from RNAcentral.